This 1165-nucleotide unclassified non-coding RNA is filed under the name Hevea brasiliensis (rubber tree). Lineage: Eukaryota; Viridiplantae; Streptophyta; Magnoliopsida; Malpighiales; Euphorbiaceae. The record is from RNAcentral.
AGAAAAAAGGUAAUACCUAUUAAUGUAGAUGUGACCAUUCAAAAAAUGGUAAUAUAGAUCAUCGGUUUCUCCAAAACUCAAUAUUAUUGAUCAAUCAAGAAUUCUAAACUAGAUUCUGCCUCAUGCCAAAUCUGGUUGGUUUUCUACAUGAAUACUUUAGCUUCAUUUAGGUUGGUAUAGGGGUGUCAGAAUCUCAACCAUAUGCUAAGAAUAAAUAAAUAAAUAAAUUCUUAAGUAAUUUUUCUUUUCUUGAAUCACCCAACUUUUAGGGAUUUAUUGUCUGCAUGGCGGGCAUUGUUUCUUUUCUAUGUGGUUCUGCUACAUGCAAUCUGUAUCCACUUUGUUCCCCAUCCAUUUCUUAUUGUGCCACUUCUCAUUUCUGCAAACAGAAAAGAAGAGUUCAUUUGACACUAGAACUUCCUUGGAGUGCUGACCGGGCAAUUCAACAGUUUGGAAGAACUCAUCGAUCAAAUCAAGCUUCUGCACCAGAAUAUAGGUAGGCUAAACUAUAUAUGUGCAACUUGUGUGCAUUCAUAUUUUCUGUAAUGUCUGAGUGAUCAACUAAUGGGUAAAGUACUUUGGCUUAGUUUUGAUUCAUUGCAGGAUACUUUGAUAUUAGCACAAUGCAUGUGCAUACACUCAUGCACACACACACAUACCCCUCAGGAUCCACUUAACAUUUUGUUGCACUUUCUUAAUUUUUUGUGAUUUAUAUUUUUGUGAACUGACUGUUAGAUUUAUUCUUCUGGACAUGUAGAUCGUGCAUGCCCAACUUCAAGGCAUUUCAAUAAAUAAAGAUUUGUCAAAAAAUAAUUCUAAAAACUGAAUAUUUUAUUCAAUAUAGUUCAGAGCCAAAAUGCAGCAUCACUUAUUUAUAACUGAUUGAUGUGAAAUUUGGCAUGGCAUGUUAAUUGUACAUGGAUCAAAUAGUAAAUCCAACAGUUAUUUUGUGGAAAUAUUCAUCAUGGAAAAAGUUAUGGAACAGUGUAAGUUACUGUGUAAUUUACACUUGAUUAUGAGGUGCAGUUUCAAUCUUUAUUAGAUAAUGUUAUCAUGCAUUUUUGGGUUUCACUGAUUUUAUUGUCAUGCAAAAAUCAAUGAGAUUCACUUCAUCACAUUUGCACAAUUUCUUUGAUGGUGCUGUUUUUUGAUUUUUUUUUUUCUU